ACAGUCAGUGUCUCAGACAAUGCCUGCAAGUAAGACCCAAAAACAAGAUAGGUCAAUUAGAAGGUCAGUGACAAAAAGCUUAAUGCUUAUAAUAAUUAGGAAGAUGUGUGUCCGGAUAAUCUUCCAUUGUUAUACUAGAUCUUAGUCUAAAAACAGGAAGCCUUCUAAUCAAUUUUAUCAGUGGGAAAAUAAGAGAAGAUUCAAAAGAAUUUAAAAUAUUUGUUAAGAUCAGAAGGCAUUAAUUAUAAGAUGAAGUAUGGAUACUUUAAACAUACACAAAGAAUCAGAUAUUUUCUGGUUAUUUGUCAUCACAAAUGUAUACACACCCUUAAAGCAGCCUUA
Molecule: unclassified non-coding RNA, 342 nt
Filed under: Hevea brasiliensis (rubber tree)
Lineage: Eukaryota; Viridiplantae; Streptophyta; Magnoliopsida; Malpighiales; Euphorbiaceae
Source: RNAcentral